This 234-nucleotide ribosomal RNA is filed under the name uncultured Lactobacillus sp. Its description in RNAcentral is "partial 16S ribosomal RNA". It matches the Rfam family "Bacterial small subunit ribosomal RNA", at positions 128 to 355 of the family's 1533-position model. Lineage: Bacteria; Bacillati; Bacillota; Bacilli; Lactobacillales; Lactobacillaceae. The record is from RNAcentral.
GCCCAAGAGAUCGGGAUAACACCUGGAAACAGAUGCUAAUACCGGAUAACAACAGAUGAUGCCUAUCAACUGUUUAAAAGAUGGUUCUGCUAUCACUCUUGGAUGGACCUGCGGUGCAUUAGCUAGUUGGUAGGGUAACGGCCUACCAAGGCGAUGAUGCAUAGCCGAGUUGAGAGACGGAUCGGCCACAUUGGGACUGAGACACGGCCCAAACUCCUACGGGAGGCAGCAGCU